Haliotis rubra (blacklip abalone) is the source of this 1119-nucleotide long non-coding RNA. RefSeq lists it as uncharacterized. The transcript is spliced from 2 exons. NCBI's taxonomy places the organism in Eukaryota, Metazoa, Mollusca, Gastropoda, Lepetellida, Haliotidae. The record is from RefSeq and is a predicted model, not a curated record.
GCUGAUGAUGUAGGUGUAACAUGUGAGACUGAUUCAAAACCAGAAUCAAGUGUCUCCAGUGAUUUACAUGAAGAAAUUUCCACAGUAAGUAUUGGUCAAGAGUCGGUUGAGGAAUCUGGUACACAGGAUACAGAUGUUCGACGUUCAGGUCGUCACAGAAAUAAACCACAAUGGAUGACGGGUGGUGAGUUUGUGUUAUCUCACACUACGCCAUCUCCGGAGUGGCUGGAGAAAGCAGAGUUUCUUCGCACUCUGGCGUUGUCAGGAGCUUUCCAUGAUUUGCCUGUUGAGGUGAGGAAAGCCAUUAUAGCACUGGUUGCGGGUACAUAGUGAAUGACGAGGAUGUCAAUUUUCAAUGGGGGGAAGUGUGUAACAGGAUAUGAUGUCAAUUGAGACAUAUCAGAUUUUAUUGUUCAGGUGAAGGUGUUUUAUGUAAUUAUAAAAUUAUGCAAAUAAAAAGUAUAAACUGUUAAACUCCAAAAAUAUGUUUAAAGCUUUUAUUGGUGAAGGGUUAUUUAAUAAACAUUGUGGUUGUUUAAAAUCAGAUUUACAAAACUGAUAAAAGGUUUGGUGAGGGUUUGUUCAUAAAAUUCUAUGUGGUUGAGGUGCAUCUGAAUUAUGCCCCUUUGUGGAAUAUUUACAUCACUAAGGAAGUGAGGUGGUUCAUUCUGGCCUCAAUUUCAUAUUGUGUGUAAUGUGACCAGAGAUUAAGCCUCUGAUUGGGUACAAGUUUUUUAGGCAUAUUAAAUACACUGAGUGUCCAAGCACAUGGCACUUAGUAUCCAGCAUUGCACAGCACAGCAGCAGCACUGUUACUUGCCACAGAAGGUGCCAAACGGGUAGAAUAGUAAACUCCAUUCCAUUCCAUAGAUGGGUAAGGUGUAUUUUCCUUAGUACAUUGUGUGAAUGUUUUGAAUGUUUGGAACGUGGUGUGCGUGUGUAUUUGUGUAACAUGACGAUUUUAAUUUAAUUAAUGCAACCAAUGAAAUGUUACCCUAUUUGUGAUAUACAAUAUUCUUAUAGAAUGAUUGUUUGCUGUCCAUUGAAUUAUUGUUAAAUGUUUCAGGGUGAUGUUUUGUGGAUUUAACUACCUCACGGAGAAUAAAAUGUCCUCCCCUA